RNAcentral lists this ribosomal RNA (482 nucleotides) under Bacteroidales bacterium. Its description in RNAcentral is "partial 23S ribosomal RNA". It matches the Rfam family "Bacterial large subunit ribosomal RNA", at positions 1 to 447 of the family's 2925-position model. Lineage: Bacteria; Pseudomonadati; Bacteroidota; Bacteroidia; Bacteroidales. The record is from RNAcentral.
GCGAAAGAAAGAAAGAGCGAACGGAGGAUGCCUUGGCUAUCCGGAGGCGAAGAAGGACGUGGUAAGCUGCGAUAAGGCGCGGGGAUUUGCAAACAGGAUUUGAUCCGCGCAUAUCCGAAUGGGGGAACCCACAUGGUUGAAGACCAUGUACCAUCGUUAAGAUGGAGCGAACCCGGGGAACUGAAACAUCUUAGUACCCGGAGGAGAAGAAAGAAAGAAUCGAUACCCUGAGUAGUGGCGAGCGAAAGGGGCAGAGCCUAAACCGUGCUGUUUACGGACAGUGCGGGGUCAUAGGACCUCUCAUGACGACUUAUUAGGAAACUGGAAGGCUGUGGAAACAGCUGCCGCAGAGGGUGACAGUCCCGUACAGGCAACCGUGAUAAGUCAAGAGAGGCACCUGAGUAGGGCGGGGCACGUGGAUCUCAUAUUCCCAGGUGAUCAGGUAUCUGCGCCAUUCGCUGCGGUAAACCGCCUGAUAUGCG